AUUGAACGCUGGCGGCAUGCUUUACACAUGCAAGUCGAACGGUAACAGGCCGCAAGGUGCUGACGAGUGGCGAACGGGUGAGUAAUGCAUCGGAACGUGCCCAGUCGUGGGGGAUAACUACUCGAAAGAGUAGCUAAUACCGCAUACGAUCUAUGGAUGAAAGCGGGGGACCGUAAGGCCUCGCGCGAUUGGAGCGGCCGAUGUCAGAUUAGGUAGUUGGUGGGGUAAAGGCUCACCAAGCCAACGAUCUGUAGCUGGUCUGAGAGGACAACCAGCCACACGGGGACUGAGACACGGCCCAGACUCCUGCGGGAGGCAGCAGUGGGGAAUUUUGGACAAAGGGCGCAAGCCUGAUCCAGCAAUGCCGCGUGCAGGAAGAAGGCCUUCGGGUUGUAAAGUGCUUUUGUACGGAACGAAACGGCUCUGGUUAAUACCCGGGGCUAAUGACGGUACCGUAAGAAUAAGCACCGGCUAACUACGUG
Molecule: ribosomal RNA, 482 nt
Filed under: uncultured bacterium
Lineage: Bacteria
Description: partial 16S ribosomal RNA
Rfam family: Bacterial small subunit ribosomal RNA
Source: RNAcentral